GGCACAGUGGCACAGUGGUUAGCGCCGUUACCUCGCAAUGUGGAGGGUUUGGGUUUGAGUCCCAGCUGGCCA
Molecule: non-coding RNA, 72 nt
Organism: Gymnothorax javanicus (giant moray)
Lineage: Eukaryota; Metazoa; Chordata; Actinopteri; Anguilliformes; Muraenidae
Source: the annotation of a GenBank genome assembly